CCUACGGGUGGCUGCAGUGGGGAAUAUUGGGCAAUGGAGGCAACUCUGACCCAGCAACGCCGCGUGAAUGAUGAAGGUCUUCGGAGGGGAAAGUUCUGUGAUGGGGGAGGAAAACAAUGACGGUACCCCAAUAGCAAGCCACGGCUAACUACGUGCCAGCAGCCGCGGUAAUACGUAGGUGGCAAGCGUUAGCCGGAAGGACUGGGCGUAAAGGGUGCGUAGGUGGUUUAGUAAGUUGGCGGUGUAAUUCCGGGGCUCAACCUCGGCGCUACCGCCCAAACUAUUAGACUAGAGUGCAGUAGGGGUAAGUGGAAUUCCUUGUGUAGCGGUGUCAUGCGUAGAUAUUAGGAGGCACAUCAGUGGCGAAGGCGACUAUCUGGACAGCAACUGACACUGAGGCACGAAAGCGUGGGGAGCAAACAGGAUUAGAUACCCGUGUCGUC
Molecule: ribosomal RNA, 443 nt
Filed under: uncultured bacterium
Lineage: Bacteria
Description: partial 16S ribosomal RNA
Rfam family: Bacterial small subunit ribosomal RNA
Source: RNAcentral